This 460-nucleotide ribosomal RNA is filed under the name uncultured bacterium. Its description in RNAcentral is "partial 16S ribosomal RNA". It matches the Rfam family "Bacterial small subunit ribosomal RNA", at positions 338 to 795 of the family's 1533-position model. The record is from RNAcentral.
CCUACGGGUGGCAGCAGUGAGGAAUAUUGGUCAAUGGGCGCGAGCCUGAACCAGCCAAGUAGCGUGAAGGAUGACUGCCCUACGGGUUGUAAACCUCUUUUAUAAGGGAAUAAAGUGAGGCACGUGUGCCUUUUUGUAUGUACUUUAUGAAUAAGGAUCGGCUAACUCCGUGCCAGCAGCCGCGGUAAUACGGAGGAUCCGAGCGUUAUCCGGAUUUAUUGGGUUUAAAGGGAGCGUAGAUGGGUUGUUAAGUCAGUUGUGAAAGUUUGCGGCUCAACCGUAAAAUUGCCAUUGAUACUGGCAGCCUUGAGUACAGUUGAGGUAGGCGGAAUGCGUGGUGUAGCGGUGAAAUGCUUAGAUAUCACGAAGAACUCCGAUUGCGAAGGCAGCCUACUAAGCUGCCACUGACACUGAUGCACGAAAGCGUGGGGAUCAAACAGGAUUAGAUACCCUGGUAGUC